UUCUUCCAUGGCUUUUUUACCUGCAUCCCCGGUGCGUUUCACAUAAUCAUCAUAAUAAGGUUGUAAAGCAGCCUUAAACGGUUUGAGAUCAGGUUGGGUAACUGUCACAUU
Molecule: non-coding RNA, 111 nt
Filed under: pig gut metagenome
Source: RNAcentral